GACUCUCGGCAACAAAUAUCUCGGCUCUUGGAUCAAUGAAGAACGUAGCGAAAUGCGAUACUUGUGAGCACAUGAUUUUUGUUUUACGCGACAAUCACUCCAAAAGAAAUA
RNAcentral lists this ribosomal RNA (111 nucleotides) under Nicotiana sylvestris (wood tobacco). Its description in RNAcentral is "5.8S ribosomal RNA". It matches the Rfam family "5.8S ribosomal RNA". Rfam says of the family: 5.8S ribosomal RNA (5.8S rRNA) is a component of the large subunit of the eukaryotic ribosome. The record is from Rfam by way of RNAcentral. Lineage: Eukaryota; Viridiplantae; Streptophyta; Magnoliopsida; Solanales; Solanaceae.